UACGGAGGGGACUAGCGUUGUUCGGAAUCACUGGGCGUAAAGGGUGCGUAGGCGGGUCUUUAAGUCAGGGGUGAAAUCCUGGAGCUCAACUCCAGAACUGCCUUUGAUACUGAAGAUCUUGAGUUCGGGAGAGGUGAGUGGAACUGCGAGUGUAGAGGUGAAAUUCGUAGAUAUUCGCAAGAACACCAGUGGCGAAGGCGGCUCACUGGCCCGAUACUGACGCUGAGGCACGAAAGCGUGGGGAGCAAACAGG
RNAcentral lists this ribosomal RNA (253 nucleotides) under uncultured bacterium. RNAcentral's name for it is "partial 16S ribosomal RNA". It matches the Rfam family "Bacterial small subunit ribosomal RNA", at positions 524 to 776 of the family's 1533-position model. The record is from RNAcentral.